Schistosoma mansoni is the source of this 46-nucleotide non-coding RNA. NCBI's taxonomy places the organism in Eukaryota, Metazoa, Platyhelminthes, Trematoda, Strigeidida, Schistosomatidae. The record is from Rfam.
UCACUGAUAAGGAGUCCCACAAUAGGACGAAACGGCCGUCCAGUGC